This is a long non-coding RNA of Camponotus floridanus (Florida carpenter ant), 758 nucleotides long. RefSeq lists it as uncharacterized. The record is from RefSeq and is a predicted model, not a curated record. Lineage: Eukaryota; Metazoa; Arthropoda; Insecta; Hymenoptera; Formicidae. The transcript is spliced from 3 exons.
UGCCCAGUUGCUUGUGACGAAAAUUUAUAUGGCUGGCCGUCUUUAAUAGUAUCUUGUCAGUGCUACUGAUCAACAUUUAUUUCUCCGUUUUUGGCUUUCAUUAUAUUUGUAAAUUUUUUCUAAUGAGAUAAAUGUAUUCUCGUAUAAGGUGCAUCUAGCGAGUGAGUGCUUUUACAUAAUUUUGGCACAACUUCACGUGUAUUUCGCAACAUUGAGAUCAGCACAAAUUAUCAUAUCGGAGCGAAAUUCAUGACCUCCGGCGUGUGUUGCAUUAAAGUAAUAAGAGUAUUAUACAAUAAACUUUUUAAUAGAAUCAAUAUGUUGAGAGAUUUAUUAGUGACAAGUGAUUGGAGCAUUCAUUCUAUGCCAUGCAGAAACCAGCAAAAACAUUAACUUAUAAGGGAACUUAUACUGCAAUAACAAUGAAUUUAACUAUAAGAAAAAUUGUUGGAAAUUCCAAAUCAAAAAAGAACUCAGAGUUCUCAUCUUCCUACAACAAAAGAGAGAGCUUAUAUUCAUGAAUUGGUUAAAAAGCUUAAUCUGAAAUAAAAGAGCCAAAGAAAGGAUAUGAAUCGAUUCUUGGUGGUAUAUAAGACAGAAGAAUCAACAAUAAUUCAAGCUGAUGCUGUGAUAAAAUUAUGAAAACUAUUUAAGUAAAGCAUACAUAAUUUUUUAUUAUAAAUCACAAAGACAUCCUUUUGUUUUCUCUAAUAAAGAAAAAACAUUCUGUAAAUAAUGUUGCUUUAUGAAAAAACUAA